AUGACGUCCCUGUCGCGGACGCUCUCCCGGGGUGGCCCGAUGCAGCCGUCGGGGCCUCACCGGAUUCUGAGGGCGCAGACCACCGUCAACCUCGGUGAGCCCAUCUUCGACAGUGAGGUGGUGCCGUCGUCGCUCGUGGAGAUCGCGCCCAUCCUCCGUGUCGCCAACGAGGUCGAGGCGGUCAACCCCUGCGUCACCUACCUCUCGCACGGAGGCAGACACAUUGGUCACCUGGAAGGCAGAGCAGGAGCAGCUGCGCAAGGCGGAGCUCGGGAGGACGCCGCGCCCAGCGGACCGUGGGACGGCGUGCCUUGGGGGGCGGUGGGGUGGCGCGUCGCGGGUGCCGGCAAGUGCGGCUGCAAGUGGCUUCUAAGGUCUGACCACCUGCAAUAA
RNAcentral lists this ribosomal RNA (393 nucleotides) under Triticum aestivum (bread wheat). Its description in RNAcentral is "partial small subunit ribosomal RNA". The record is from RNAcentral. Lineage: Eukaryota; Viridiplantae; Streptophyta; Magnoliopsida; Poales; Poaceae.